CAACCCCACAUCAGGCGAGGCUAUCCACUCAGUUUGAGCAUAUCAAUAAGCGGAGG
This 56-nucleotide ribosomal RNA is filed under the name Mammillaria multiceps. RNAcentral's name for it is "partial 26S ribosomal RNA". The record is from RNAcentral. Lineage: Eukaryota; Viridiplantae; Streptophyta; Magnoliopsida; Caryophyllales; Cactaceae.